This 503-nucleotide ribosomal RNA is filed under the name uncultured bacterium. Its description in RNAcentral is "bacterial SSU rRNA". It matches the Rfam family "Bacterial small subunit ribosomal RNA", at positions 8 to 526 of the family's 1533-position model. The record is from RNAcentral.
AGAGUUUGAUCCUGGCUCAGGACGAACGCUGGCGGCGUGCUUAACACAUGCAAGUCGAGCGGUAAGGCCUCUUCGGGGGUACACGAGCGGCGAACGGGUGAGUAACACGUGGGUGACCUGCCCUCAGCUCUGGGAUAAGCCUGGGAAACUGGGUCUAAUACCGGAUAGGACCGCAUGUUUCAUGGUGUGUGGUGGAAAGUUUUUUCGGCUGGGGAUGGGCCCGCGGCCUAUCAGCUUGUUGGUGGGGUGAUGGCCUACCAAGGCGACGACGGGUAGCCGGCCUGAGAGGGCGACCGGCCACACUGGGACUGAGACACGGCCCAGACUCCUACGGGAGGCAGCAGUGGGGAAUAUUGCGCAAUGGGCGGAAGCCUGACGCAGCGACGCCGCGUGGGGGAUGACGGCCUUCGGGUUGUAAACCUCUUUCGACCUCGACGAAGCGUGAGUGACGGUAGGGGUAGAAGAAGCACCGGCCAACUACGUGCCAGCAGCGGCGGUAAUUC